Molecule: ribosomal RNA, 391 nt
Filed under: uncultured Glomeromycotina
Lineage: Eukaryota; Fungi; Glomeromycota
Description: SSU rRNA
Rfam family: Eukaryotic small subunit ribosomal RNA
Source: RNAcentral
AGCAGCCGCGGUAAUUCCAGCUCCAAUAGCGUAUAUUAAAGUUGUUGCAGUUAAAAAGCUCGUAGUUGAAUUUCGGGGUCAGUAGGUUGGUCAUGCCUUCGGUAUGUACUGGUCUCACUGACUCCUCCUUCCUGAUGAACUGUAAUGCCAUUAAUUUGGUGUUGCGGGGAAACUGGACUGUUACUUUGAAAAAAUUGAGUGUUUAAAGCAAGCUAACGCUUGAAUACAUUAGCAUGGAAUAAUGAAAUAGGACGUUCGAUCCUAUUUUGUUGGUUUCUAGGAUUGACGUAAUGAUUAAUAGGGAUAGGUUGGGGGCAUUAGUAUUCAAUUGUCAGAGGUGAAAUUCUUGGAUUUAUUGAAGACUAACUACUGCGAAAGCGUUUGCCAAGGA